UUAUGAUUACCCUGAACGGUGGAUCACUCGGCCCGU
This 36-nucleotide ribosomal RNA is filed under the name Cosmocomoidea fasciata. Its description in RNAcentral is "partial 5.8S ribosomal RNA". Lineage: Eukaryota; Metazoa; Arthropoda; Insecta; Hymenoptera; Mymaridae. The record is from RNAcentral.